GUUAAGCGACUAAGCGUACACGGUGGAUGCCCUGGCAGUCAGAGGCGAUGAAGGACGUGCUAAUCUGCGAUAAGCGUCGGUAAGGUGAUAUGAACCGUUAUAACCGGCGAUUUCCGAAUGGGGAAACCCAGUGUGUUUCGACACACUAUCAUUAACUGAAUCCAUAGGUUAAUGAGGCGAACCGGGGGAACUGAAACAUCUAAGUACCCCGAGGAAAAGAAAUCAACCGAGAUUCCCCCAGUAGCGGCGAGCGAACGGGGAGCAGCCCAGAGCCUGAAUCAGUAUGUGUGUUAGUGGAAGCGUCUGGAAAGGCGCGCGAUACAGGGUGACAGCCCCGUACACAAAAAUGCACAUGCUGUGAGCUCGAUGAGUAGGGCGGGACACGUGGUAUCCUGUCUGAAUAUGGGGGGACCAUCCUCCAAGGCUAAAUACUCCUGACUGACCGAUAGUGAACCAGUACCGUGAGGGAAAGGCGAAAAGAACCCCGGCGAGGGGAGUGAAAAAGAACCUGAAACCGUGUACGUACAAGCAGUGGGAGCACGCUUAGGCGUGUGACUGCGUACCUUUUGUAUAAUGGGUCAGCGACUUAUAUUCUGUAGCAAGGUUAACCGAAUAGGGGAGCCGAAGGGAAACCGAGUCUUAACUGGGCGUUAAGUUGCAGGGUAUAGACCCGAAACCCGGUGAUCUAGCCAUGGGCAGGUUGAAGGUUGGGUAACACUAACUGGAGGACCGAACCGACUAAUGUUGAAAAAUUAGCGGAUGACUUGUGGCUGGGGGUGAAAGGCCAAUCAAACCGGGAGAUAGCUGGUUCUCCCCGAAAGCUAUUUAGGUAGCGCCUCGUGAAUUCAUCUCCGGGGGUAGAGCACUGUUUCGGCAAGGGGGUCAUCCCGACUUACCAACCCGAUGCAAACUGCGAAUACCGGAGAAUGUUAUCACGGGAGACACACGGCGGGUGCUAACGUCCGUCGUGAAGAGGGAAACAACCCAGACCGCCAGCUAAGGUCCCAAAGUCAUGGUUAAGUGGGAAACGAUGUGGGAAGGCCCAGACAGCCAGGAUGUUGGCUUAGAAGCAGCCAUCAUUUAAAGAAAGCGUAAUAGCUCACUGGUCGAGUCGGCCUGCGCGGAAGAUGUAACGGGGCUAAACCAUGCACCGAAGCUGCGGCAGCGACGCUGAUGCGUUGUUGGGUAGGGGAGCGUUCUGUAAGCCUGCGAAGGUGUGCUGUGAGGCAUGCUGGAGGUAUCAGAAGUGCGAAUGCUGACAUAAGUAACGAUAAAGCGGGUGAAAAGCCCGCUCGCCGGAAGACCAAGGGUUCCUGUCCAACGUUAAUCGGGGCAGGGUGAGUCGACCCCUAAGGCGAGGCCGAAAGGCGUAGUCGAUGGGAAACAGGUUAAUAUUCCUGUACUUGGUGUUACUGCGAAGGGGGGACGGAGAAGGCUAUGUUGGCCGGGCGACGGUUGUCCCGGUUUAAGCGUGUAGGCUGGUUUUCCAGGCAAAUCCGGAAAAUCAAGGCUGAGGCGUGAUGACGAGGCACU
Molecule: ribosomal RNA, 1533 nt
Filed under: Escherichia coli
Lineage: Bacteria; Pseudomonadati; Pseudomonadota; Gammaproteobacteria; Enterobacterales; Enterobacteriaceae
Description: partial 23S ribosomal RNA
Rfam family: Bacterial large subunit ribosomal RNA
Source: RNAcentral